This 465-nucleotide ribosomal RNA is filed under the name uncultured bacterium. RNAcentral describes it as "partial 16S ribosomal RNA". It matches the Rfam family "Bacterial small subunit ribosomal RNA", at positions 338 to 795 of the family's 1533-position model. The record is from RNAcentral.
CCUACGGGUGGCAGCAGUAGGGAAUCUUCCACAAUGGGCGAAAGCCUGAUGGAGCAACGCCGCGUGGGUGAAGAAGGUCUUCGGAUCGUAAAACCCUGUUGUUAGAGAAGAAAGUGCGUGAGAGUAACUGUUCACGUUUCGACGGUAUCUAACCAGAAAGCCACGGCUAACUACGUGCCAGCAGCCGCGGUAAUACGUAGGUGGCAAGCGUUAUCCGGAUUUAUUGGGCGUAAAGGGAACGCAGGCGGUCUUUUAAGUCUGAUGUGAAAGACUUCGGCUUAACCGGAGUAGUGCAUUGGAAACUGGGAGAGUGGAGUGCAGAAGAGGAGAGUGGAACUCGAUGUGUAGCGGUGAAAUGCGUAGAUAUAUGGAAGAACACCAGUGGAGAAAGCGGCUCUCUGGUCUGUAACUGACGCUGAGGUUCGAAAGCGUGGGUAGCAAACAGGAUUAGAUACCCCAGUAGUC